This 2529-nucleotide ribosomal RNA is filed under the name Triticum aestivum (bread wheat). RNAcentral describes it as "partial small subunit ribosomal RNA". The record is from RNAcentral. Lineage: Eukaryota; Viridiplantae; Streptophyta; Magnoliopsida; Poales; Poaceae.
AUGGGGGGCGGGCCGCGGACGUUCCCUGGGGGGCUGUCCAAGUGGCAGCACAAGCGGAUGCACGAGAAGCUGGCGCGGGGGAAGGAGCGGGGCCUGCUCCGCCAUGAGAAGCAGCUCUACCUCGCCCGCCUCCGCUCCGAGAUCCGCGCCUCCCACCUCCCCGGCGCCCCCGCCUCCCCCGCCGACCAUGCCGGCCCCACCUCCUCGCGCGCCCACAUCCGCGCCCUCGCCGACCGCUUCCUCCGCCCCGGCGCCGAGGACCUCUGGAACGACGACGACGGCCCGCUACGCCGUGCGCGGCUCCCCCCGCAUCAGCAGCAGCCAGCGAGGAGCCUGCCGUCUGGCGCCCGGAUGGUCGACUGGAAGCAGGUGGAGUCCGGGGAGAAGCUGAAGCCGCCCCGGGGAGGAGGGGACUGGAAGGACUGGGAGGAGCUGGAUUCUGGGGAGCCGACGGCGGGAAGGGGAGCCGGAAAUGAGCAGCGAUUGCCUGCCGCGUUCAACCAGAGGAGAGGGUACGGGACGGCCGCUCCCUGGUGGUGGCAAUGGAGCCCGGGCUCCGGCACGCCUUCGCAGAGGAAGGAGGCGUCCUUCGGCUUCUUCGGUCCGAAGAGAUGCUACUCGGUGAUGCCUCCAUGCUCGCCGUGCCGGGAAUCGGGUGCUGCGCUGAUGCCGUUGGUUGCUAGACAGCUCGCCGAGGCUGGAGAUGGCAGGAAUGCGACACCGUUGGCUCUGUUUUAUACUCAGGAGAGGUUGUACUCUGUAGCAGCCCCACGGCGGUUUGGCCAGAAAUGGAGGCCGGAUUCAUCGGACGAGGAUGGGGAGGUUAUGCCGGCUGCUAGGGAUCUGAGGUUGGCAAAAUUCGUGGCUUCGAGGGAAGAUGAGUCGGAAGAUGAUGAACCGGGGGAGACGAGCGCCAUCAGGAGGAAAUGGAGCACUGCUGCUCUGAGGAACUGUGAUAUGAAGAGAGAUAGGAGACCGCUCAAGUCCUACGAGGAGGAAAGCGAUGAUGAUAUCACUGGUAGAAUCCAAGAGCUGCGAGAGGAGAUAAGAAACAGGGAGGUGCUGGGUGCUGAGAGGAGGCGGUACGAGUCAAGGGGUGAAUCUGUGUUUACCAAUAAAAGAUUCGAUGAGUGUGGCAUCUCCCCACUUACUGUCAAAGCACUCACUGAUGCUGGAUAUAUACAGACAACUGUUGUCCAGGAAGCAACUCUUCCAGUUUGUCUCGAAGGUAAAGAUGUUCUUGUCAAGGCCAAAACUGGAACCGGCAAAAGUGUAGCUUUUCUGCUUCCUGCAAUUGAAUCAGUCUUGAAUGCCAUGAAGAGCCAUACAAAUCAUCGAGUGUCUCCAAUAUUUGCCCUUGUUCUAUGCCCUACAAGAGAGCUUGCCGUCCAGGUUACAGCUGAGGCGAAUGUUUUGGUGAAGUACCAUCAUGGAGUGGGUGUUCAGUCUCUUAUUGGUGGCACUAGAUUCAAGCUUGAUCAAAGACGGUUAGAGUCCGAUCCAUGCCAGAUUUUAGUGGCAACACCUGGUAGGCUGCUGGAUCAUAUUGAAAACAGAUCUUCAUUCUCUGUCCGCUUGAUGGGAUUGAAAUUGCUUGUGUUGGAUGAAGCUGACCACUUGCUAGAUUUGGGUUUUCGCAAAGACAUAGAGAAGAUUGCUGAUAGCUUGCCACGCCAAAGACAGACACUACUAUUUUCAGCUACUGUUCCAAAAGAGGUUCGAAGGGUUUCACAGAUGGUUUUAAACAAGGAUCAUGUUUUUGUUGAUACAGUGGGCUUGGGGGCUGUUGAAACUCCUACUAAGGUACAACAGCAAUAUCUUGUGGUACCACAUGAACUGCACUUUCAUAUGGUUCACCACCUUCUUCGAGAGCAUAUUGAUCAGGAAGUGGACUAUAAGGUGAUAGUUUUCUGCACAACUGCCAUGGUGACUGAAUUUAUGUAUAUAAUGCUUCGAGUUCUGAAGCUAAACGUCAGAGAGAUACAUUCAAGAAAGCCCCAGCUUUAUAGAACACGUAUUUCUGAAGAGUUCCGGGAUUCCAAUCGCCUGAUUCUGGUAACAUCAGAUGUUUCAACACGUGGAGUGAAUUAUCCAGACGUUACCCUAGUGAUUCAGGCUGGUGUUCCUCCUGGUAGAGAGCAUUAUAUUCAUCGUCUUGGAAGGACUGGAAGGGAAGGUAAAUCCGGGAAAGGAAUUCUGUUGAUUGCGCCAUGGGAAGAGUAUUUCUUGAAGGAGAUACAUGAUCUUCCAAUACAGAAGGCUCCUGUGCCACAGAUUGACCAGGAGAUGAAACAAAAGGUUGAUGAUUCGAUCAAGAUUGUUGACAUGAGCAUCAAGGAAGCCGCAUACCAUGCAUGGCUUGGUUACUAUAACUCGAUAGCUGAUAUUAGCAGAGACAAAGUCAUGCUUGCUGACCUGGCUAGUAGGUUCGGCGUCUCUAUCGGCAUGGAAAAGCCUCCGUCGUUGUUUAGGAAAACCGCCUUGAAGAUGGGGUUAAAGGGUGUACCAGGAAUUCGGAUAAGAAAAUGA